UUAUGUUCUUCCUGGAUGGGAAGGUUCAUCAUCAGAUUCAAAAGUUUUACGAAGUGCAUUAGUGAGAGAAAGGGAUCCAUUUCUUGUGCCGACUGGAAAUUAUUAUCUAGUUGAUGCUGGAUAUGCAAAUACUCCCGGAUUUUUAGCUCCUUAUCGUUCUACUCGUUAUCACCUAAAUGAAUGGUCAAGUCAUGGUAAUCGUCCUUCUAACUAUAAGGAAUUAUUUAACCUACGACACUCUUUAGCAAGAAAUUCAGUAGAGAGAACAUUUGGAUUGCUGAAAAAACGAUGGGCAGUACUUCGUCAACCAUCAUUUUUUGGUACUAAUACACAGGUGAAUUUUUAUAACAUAAUUAUAAGAAUUGGUCAUAUUAUUUCCUUGACAUAUAUACACAAAUAUUUGUCUCAAUAAUUAAUUUACUUGAAUGACAGGUUCGUAUUAUUAAUGCUUGUUGUGUUCUUCAUAACUACAUUCGUGAAAUUGCAAGUGAAUUGGAUUAUCCAUUGUUGCAUGAGGUUGAUUGUGAUUUGGCACAACAAUCAAAUGAAGUAUUUGAUGUGGACUAUGAAGAUGUCAUAACAAAUGUACAAGGUGGUAGUCAAUGGACAAAUUUUAGGGAUGAUAUGGCAAGGGAGAUGUAUAGUCAAUAUCAAGUUAGGAGUGGUAGAACUUAAUUACAUGUUUUUAGUGAUUUUAGUUUAUGUUAAGCUAGUAUAAUUGUGGUGAUGUGUAUCUUCUUUUAUCAAUAUAAAAUCUUUGUUGGUGUCUUUUCUAA
Long non-coding RNA from Impatiens glandulifera, 776 nucleotides. RefSeq lists it as uncharacterized. The transcript has 2 exons. The record is from RefSeq and is a predicted model, not a curated record. Lineage: Eukaryota; Viridiplantae; Streptophyta; Magnoliopsida; Ericales; Balsaminaceae.